UACGAAGGGGGCUAGCGUUGCUCGGAAUCACUGGGCGUAAAGGGCGCGUAGGCGGACGUUUAAGUCAGGGGUGAAAUCCCGGGGCUCAACCUCGGAAUUGCCUUUGAUACUGGAUGUCUCGAGACCGGAAGAGGUAAGUGGAACUGCGAGUGUAGAGGUGAAAUUCGUAGAUAUUCGCAAGAACACCAGUGGCGAAGGCGGCUUACUGGUCCGGAUCUGACGCUGAGGCGCGAAAGCGUGGGGAGCAAAC
This 250-nucleotide ribosomal RNA is filed under the name uncultured bacterium. RNAcentral's name for it is "partial 16S ribosomal RNA". It matches the Rfam family "Bacterial small subunit ribosomal RNA", at positions 524 to 773 of the family's 1533-position model. The record is from RNAcentral. RNAcentral also lists the same sequence under 1 other name.